AAAAAAAAGAAACGAGAAACGUGUAUCACAGAUCGCUGCCGACAAUUUGCACGCACUUGGAGCCACGAAUUCGUAUGGACACUCGCAUAGAAAUAUUUACCUUGCUACAUGUAAAAUGAAUAGAGAGCCUGCCUGAAUCGAACGAAGGAAGGCUCAACCGGCCCACUGUGACGUCGCCGGCCUACUGUCAGCUCAGCGCUCGCUCGGCCCCGCGGUCAACUAACCUACCGUGUUCGCCGCGCAGACUUUACCGACAAAAUAAAUCGAUUCGGCACCGCCCACGCGUAUAAUUUGUCCACGAUAAAUCCUAACUGAUUAUAUAACUAUUUUACGUGUAAAUUUCACAUUGAUAUCAUAAUUUUAUAAAUAUCUAAUGUCGUUUCAGUCGCUCACUUGACUAGCGUAGUAGUCAGGUGUGAAACGCUCACGCGCACAGCCACACAUACAGAGACGGCGCACGUUUCCCUCGCAGAUCUCGCGAUUCGUAGAGCCAUAGGCGUCGUUGGACCAAAAAAACUCUGUUCACCGUGUUAAGGGUGGGAGGUGAGACCAUGUAAGAAUAUCAAACGCAUUGACGUCUUACGCAGCAAGGAAGGUAUCAAGAAAAGAAUUGAAUAAAGCGUAAUACUACGGAGAAUCAUAUCAGAAUUCCAAAGGGGCCUCGAAUGCGCGACACGUGCGACUUCGAAUUAGAAAAAGUAAACACGCGUUCGGCCAGGUGGCGCGGAAUGUCGUUGCUACAUCGAUGAGCAGUUUUACGCGCACAGCGAAAUAGACGACUGACCGUCGAGGAAGAACAGUGAUGGACCAGGUUCGGCGCCGUUCCAUCUCUCACGCAACAUUAGCUAUUCAAACGCGAUUCCGAAGAGUGUUCGAGCCGACAUCGGGCUCGUAGUGUUUCGUUUUUAAAAAAGCACAGCCCCGUUUAACCGUUGCCCCGAGCUAUCGACGUCCAGACUGUCUCAAAAUCGUUUACGAUCAUCGGUUACACCUGCGGCGGCCAUACUUCCUCGACGGUGAUCCUCUCUUUGGCUAUCGAAUUCUCGAUCGAAUUUUCAAUGAUCGAAAUUUCAGACAGAGGUAAGAACGAUUUUUAACGAAUGGAGGACAAUUGUAUCGAUUGUUUUUCCUACAAUGUCGCAAUUAUGACAAAAAGAAAGGAAACAAAU
Molecule: long non-coding RNA, 1169 nt
Organism: Apis dorsata (giant honeybee)
Lineage: Eukaryota; Metazoa; Arthropoda; Insecta; Hymenoptera; Apidae
Exons: 3
Source: RefSeq, a predicted model, not a curated record